UACAGUGCCAAGAGACAGGGUUCCGUGUA
Molecule: non-coding RNA, 29 nt
Filed under: Homo sapiens (human)
Lineage: Eukaryota; Metazoa; Chordata; Mammalia; Primates; Hominidae
Source: RNAcentral